Molecule: ribosomal RNA, 580 nt
Filed under: uncultured Dechloromonas sp.
Lineage: Bacteria; Pseudomonadati; Pseudomonadota; Betaproteobacteria; Rhodocyclales; Azonexaceae
Description: bacterial SSU rRNA
Rfam family: Bacterial small subunit ribosomal RNA
Source: RNAcentral
ACGGACUUCGGUCUGGUGGCAAGUGGCGAACGGGUGAGUAAUGUAUCGGAACGUACCUUUCAGUGGGGGAUAACGUAGCGAAAGUUACGCUAAUACCGCAUAUUCUGUGAGCAGGAAAGCAGGGGAUCGCAAGACCUUGCGCUGAUUGAGCGGCCGAUAUCAGAUUAGCUAGUUGGUGAGGUAAAGGCUCACCAAGGCGACGAUCUGUAGCGGGUCUGAGAGGAUGAUCCGCCACACUGGAACUGAGACACGGUCCAGACUCCUACGGGAGGCAGCAGUGGGGAAUUUUGGACAAUGGGGGCAACCCUGAUCCAGCCAUGCCGCGUGAGUGAAGAAGGCCUUCGGGUUGUAAAGCUCUUUCGGCCGGGAAGAAAUCGCAUAGGUUAAUACCCUGUGUGGAUGACGGUACCGGAAUAAGAAGCACCGGCUAACUACGUGCCAGCAGCCGCGGUAAUACGUAGGGUGCGAGCGUUAAUCGGAAUUACUGGGCGUAAAGCGUGCGCAGGCGGUUAUGUAAGACAGAUGUGAAAUCCCCGGGCUCAACCUGGGAACUGCGUUUGUGACUGCAUAACUAGAGUAC